AGAGUUUGAUCCUGGCUCAGAACGAACGCUGGCGGCGUGGCUAAGGCAUGCAAGUCGAACGGACCACGUGGAAGGUAACGGAAGCGUGGUUAGUGGCGCACGGGUGAGUAAUGCAUGGACAACGUACCCCGGACACAGGGAUAGCGGCUGCGAAAGUGCCGGUAAUACCUGAUAAUUUCGCGGAAUCGCAUGGUUUCGCGAACAAAGCUCCGACGGUCUGGGAGUGGUCCAUGUCCUAUCAGCUAGUUGGUGGGGUAACGGCCUACCAAGGCAUCGACGGGUAGUGGGCGUGAGAGCGCGACCCACCACAUCGGGACUGAGACACGGCCCGGACACCUACGGGUGGCUGCAGCAACGAAUCUUCCGCAAUGGGCGCAAGCCUGACGGAGCGACGCCGCGUGUUGGAAGAAGUCCUUCGGGAUGUAAACAACUGUCAGGGGUGAGGAAAACUGACCAGCCCCAGAGGAAGCACCGGCUAACUCCGUGCCAGCAGCCGCGGUAAUACGGAGGGUGCGAGCGUUGUUCGGAAUCACUGGGCUUAAAGCGCGUGUAGGCGGGACGGAAGGUGUCUUGUGAAAUCCCUCGGCUCAACCGAGGAAUUGCUAGGCAAACCGUCGUUCUUGAGGCAGGUAGAGGCAACUGGAACCAUGGGUGGAGCGGUGAAAUGCGUAGAUAUCCAUGGGAACGCCUGUGGCGAAAGCGGGUUGCUGGGCCUGUCCUGACGCUGAGACGCGAAAGCGUAGGUAGCAAACGGGAUUAGAUACCCCGGUAGUCUACGCCGUAAACGAUGCGCACUAGGCAUGAGGACGUCUGACCGUAAUUGUGCCGAAAGAAAACCGUUAAGUGCGCCGCCUGGGGAGUACGGCCGCAAGGCUAAAACUCAAAGGAAUUGACGGGGGCUCACACAAGCGGUGGAGCAUGUGGAUUAAUUCGAAGCAACGCGAAGAACCUUACCUGGGUUUGACAUUCACGGAUGCCCUCUUGGAAACAGGAGUAAGCUGCCUUCGGGUGAAACGUGGACAGGUGUUGCAUGGCUGUCGUCAGCUCGUGCUGUGAAGUGUCGGGUUAAGUCCCUUAACGAGCGAAACCCUUGUCGCUAGUUGCCAUCGGGUCAUGCCGGGAACUCUAGCGAGACUGCCGGCGUCAAGCCGGAGGAAGGUGGGGACGACGUCAAGUCAUCAUGGCCUUUAUGUCCAGGGUGUCACACGUGCUACAAUGGCGCGUACAGAGCGAAGCGAGACCGCGAGGUGGAGCAAAUCGCAGAAAGCGCGCCCCAGUUCGGAUUGGAGUCUGCAAUUCGACUCCAUGAAGUUGGAAUCGCUAGUAAUCGCGGAUCAGCCACGCCGCGGUGAAUGUGUUCCUGAGCCUUGUACACACCGCCCGUCAAGUCAUGGAAGCUGGGAGCACCCGAAGUCCGCUUAGCCAACCGCAAGGGGGCGGCGGCCGACGGUGAGUUCGGUGACUGGGACUAAGUCGUAACAAGGUAACC
This 1489-nucleotide ribosomal RNA is filed under the name uncultured bacterium. RNAcentral's name for it is "bacterial SSU rRNA". It matches the Rfam family "Bacterial small subunit ribosomal RNA". The record is from RNAcentral.